UCCCAUCCCACUGCCCCCUCGACAUCUGUCCCCGCACACGCGCGCGCACAGGGAGGUGGACGUCAACUUUCCCCUCCCCUCCCUCCGCCUUCAUCUUCACGGCGUCACCACUCCUUUGCUUUUACUGGUAAGUUCUAAACUGCGGCUGCUGCUGCUGCUGCGCUCUUCCUCUUUUCUCCUCUCGCCCGCCCGCGCGUGCUCCCGCCGUUGGUUCCGCACCGCUCGCUAGCUUCCUUGCUCGCGAGGGCACCGCCCGUGAGCCGUGAUUCGGGGAUUUGGAUCCGCGCGUACCUUGGAUUUCCCCUUGUUUAUAGGCCGGUCGAGCGGUGCCUGGUACAGGCGUUGGGAUUCGGCCUGGAUCGGCGCAGAUCUGGAGGCACAUGAGGCGCCGGCGCUGGCGGGCGAGCUUACGAGGAUGUGAAGCAAGUUGUAGAGGGAGAGGGAGCGGAGUCAGCGAUGGGGUGCUUGGGUGGUGAGGCGACUCGGGGCGCUGAUCCUGGAGGCACCUGUGGCGCCGGAGGAGAUGGAGGACGUGGCCGUGGCUGCGCUCGCCACGACGCCCACACCUGUGUUUAGCCCCGCCACGGCCGGGCUCACGCUAAUCGCCGCCGCGGCUGCGGAACCGAUUGCGGCCGUUGUGGCGGGGGCCAUGGAGGGGGUGCCGGUCACCUUUUCAGUGCCGCCGGUCAGAACCACCACGGACGACGGGCUGCCAACAGCAACUGGAGGGGAAGGGGGAGAGGCCUCGGCAGCGGGGAGCCCGUGCUCGGUCACCAGCGACUGCAGCAGCGUGGCAAGCGCGGAUUUCGAGGGGGUGGGUCUGGGCUUCUUCGGUGCGGGGGUCGAGGGGGGCGCGGUGGUGUUCGAGGACUCGGCGGCUUCUGCGGCCACCGUCGAGGCGGAGGCGAGGGUCGCGGCCGGGGGGAGGAGCGUCUUCGCUGUCGAAUGCGUUCCGCUCUGGGGGUUUACAUCAAUUUGCGGCCGCCGCCCGGAGAUGGAGGAUGCGGUCGUCGCUGUGCCGCGAUUCUUCGGCCUGCCCCUCUGGAUGCUCACGGGCAACAAUAUGGUCGAUGGACUCGAUCCCAUCUCCUUCCGCCUCCCCGCACACUUUUUUGGUGUAUACGAUGGCCACGGCGGUGCACAGGUAGCAGAUUACUGUCGGGAUCGGCUCCACGCAGCGCUGGUGGAGGAGCUGAGCAGGAUAGAAGGGUCCGUGUCUGGUGCUAACCUGGGAGCUGUGGAGUUUAAGAAGCAGUGGGAAAAGGCGUUUGUGGAUUGCUUCUCAAGGGUGGAUGAUGAGAUAGCUGGUAAGGCGACCAGGGGAGGAGGGGGAAACGUGGGCACAAGCAGUGUCACUGCAAUGGCCAUUGCAGAUCCUGUAGCACCUGAGACCGUCGGUUCAACGGCGGUGGUCGCUGUCAUCUGCUCAUCUCAUAUCAUUGUCUCAAAUUGUGGAGACUCGAGGGCAGUGCUCUGCCGUGGAAAGCAACCCGUGCCGUUGUCAGUGGAUCAUAAACCUAAUAGGGAGGAUGAGUACGCAAGGAUUGAGGCAGAGGGUGGCAAGGUCAUACAGUGGAAUGGCUACCGAGUUUUCGGUGUCCUUGCCAUGUCGCGAUCAAUUGGUGACAGAUAUCUGAAACCAUGGAUAAUUCCUGUCCCAGAGGUCACAAUUGUUCCUCGGGCGAAGGAUGAUGAGUGCCUUAUUCUUGCCAGUGAUGGCCUCUGGGAUGUACUGUCGAAUGAAGAGGUAUGCGAUGUUGCCCGCAAGCGAAUACUCUUAUGGCAUAAAAAGAACGGGGUAAACUUAUCAUCGGCCCAACGUAGCGGUGACUCCCCAGAUCCAGCGGCUCAAGCAGCUGCUGAAUGCUUGUCGAAGCUUGCUCUCCAGAAGGGGAGCAAGGACAACAUCACGGUUAUUGUGGUAGACCUCAAGGCGCAGAGGAAGUUCAAGAGCAAAACUUAAGUCAUCUUGCUUGAUGGACAGCCUCUAUGACAAAUUCCUAGGAAUCUAUAUAGAUUUGGAGAAUCCAAAUUCGAUCAGUUUAGACUGUUGUGUUAGUACAUUACUUAGCCCAGUUCGUUCUUUUCUUCCUUUUCACCAUUUGGGCUGCCAAGGGCUGUAUUCCUGUAUACAGUACAGAUUACGAAAUUCCACAUCAGGGUUUAUGUUUCCUGAUGGCGUGGGUGAUCCUGUUUUCUGUUCUUCUUCCUUUGCUGCCCCUUAUUCUUUUUGUUAAGCUGGGCCAUCAUGUAUCUGGAAAUGUAUAUUUGAGCCUGUAGGGUACAACAGGAACUAGUGGUAUAAACUAUUUUGUACUGCCUUCUCUGAUACUAUGAAAUUCAAGUGGCAAACCUUCCUAC
Molecule: ribosomal RNA, 2361 nt
Filed under: Triticum aestivum (bread wheat)
Lineage: Eukaryota; Viridiplantae; Streptophyta; Magnoliopsida; Poales; Poaceae
Description: partial small subunit ribosomal RNA
Source: RNAcentral